RNAcentral lists this ribosomal RNA (611 nucleotides) under uncultured bacterium. RNAcentral describes it as "bacterial SSU rRNA". It matches the Rfam family "Bacterial small subunit ribosomal RNA", at positions 338 to 944 of the family's 1533-position model. The record is from RNAcentral.
CCUACGGGAGGCAGCAGUAAGGAAUAUUGGUCAAUGGACGAAAGUCUGAACCAGCCAUGCCGCGUGAAGGAUUAAGGCCCUCUGGGUUGUAAACUUCUUUUAUCUGGGACGAAAAAAGGGUAUUCUUACUCACUUGACGGUACCAGAGGAAUAAGCACCGGCUAACUCCGUGCCAGCAGCCGCGGUAAUACGGAGGGUGCAAGCGUUAUCCGGAUUUACUGGGUUUAAAGGGUGCGUAGGUGGGCUUGUAAGUCAGUGGUGAAAUCUCCGGGCUUAACCCGGAAACUGCCAUUGAUACUAUAGGUCUUGAAUUAUCUGGAGGUAAGCGGAAUAUGUCAUGUAGCGGUGAAAUGCUUAGAUAUGACAUAGAACACCAAUUGCGAAGGCAGCUUACUACGGAUAUAUUGACACUGAGGCACGAAAGCGUGGGGAUCAAACAGGAUUAGAUACCCUGGUAGUCCACGCCCUAAACGAUGGAUACUCGACAUCAGCGAUACACUGUUGGUGUCUGAGCGAAAAGCAUUAAGUAUCCCACCUGGGAAGUACGAUCGCAAGAUUGAAACUCAAAGGAAUUGACGGCUGAGACGNGACGAGACGACACGAGGAGGAGG